GAUGAACGCUGGCGGCGUGCCUAAUACAUGCAAGUCGAGCGAACGGACGAGAAGCUUCCUUCUCUGAUGUUUGCGGCGGACGGGUGAGUAACACGUGGAUAACCUACCUAUAAGACUGGGAUAACUUCGGGAAACCGUAGCUAAUACCGGAUAAUAUUUUGAACCGCAUGGUUCAAAAGUGAAAGACGGUCUUGCUGUCACUUAUAGAUGGAUCCGCGCUGCAUUGGGUAGUUGGUAAGGUAACGGUUUACCAAGCCAACGAUUCAUAGCCGACCUGAGAGGGUAUUGGACCAAACUGGAACGGGGAAACGGUCCGGAUUCCUACGGGAGGAAGAAGUAGGGAAUCUUCCGCAAUGGGCGAAAGCCUGACGGAGAAACGCCGCGUGAGUGAUGAAGGUCUUCGGAUCGUAAACCUCUGUUAUUAGGGAAGAAGAUAGGUGUAAGUAACUGUGCACAUCGUGACGGUACCUAAUCAGAAAGCCACGGCUAACUACGUG
Molecule: ribosomal RNA, 497 nt
Filed under: uncultured bacterium
Lineage: Bacteria
Description: partial 16S ribosomal RNA
Rfam family: Bacterial small subunit ribosomal RNA
Source: RNAcentral